AAGCCUGGAGGUGAGGACACAGACCGACCGCUGAGCACUGGACGGAAGCCCAGCUCCGACCGCCGCUGGCCUCGAGCCGUGCCCCAUGUUCACCUCGGAGCCCGGGUUGUUCUGGAUGUGUGUGCGGGAACCACAUGUGGCAAAGUACUUGAAGUCUCCCUCUGCCUGCAGCACAACACACGUUAGCAGGAGCAGGGCCACGCUGCCUAGAAGCAACACUGCCCUUGCAGCCGUCUGAGGCUGUGACCAGGUUCUGGCCGGCACAGUGUGUGAGAGUGCGAGGGACAUGUGUGUCCUUCGAGGCACAGAGUCCUGCCCAGCUGCUGGCGGCAUGUGGCCACAGUGGCUGGCAGCCUCAGGAGCACAGCGAUGCUACAGGAGGAGCCUGGGAGGCCCGUGGGCCCUGGCCUGCCUGAACUUGGGUUGUUGUCCAAGCUUCCUGCUGAUGGGCCUGGGAGGCAGCAGAUGACAGAUGCCCUGCAUGCCUGGGCCCCUGCCACCCAUGUGGGAGACCUGGAUGGAAUUCCAAGCUCCUGGCAUCAGCCUGGCCCAGCCCUGGCUGUUGUGGCCAUUUGGGGAGUGUACCAGUAGGUGGAAGAUCCUUCUCUUUUCCCUGCCUUUAAAUAAAUCUUGUAAAAAAGAAUGAACAACCUUA
Molecule: long non-coding RNA, 655 nt
Organism: Lepus europaeus (European hare)
Lineage: Eukaryota; Metazoa; Chordata; Mammalia; Lagomorpha; Leporidae
Exons: 2
Source: RefSeq, a predicted model, not a curated record